GUUUCCAAGCUAGACUCAGUCGCCUUCAUGGAAUGUCUUCAAAGAAUAUUAAAAAAUCUGGAGGGACUCCAACUUCAAUGGUACCCAUUCCUGGCCCAGUGGGUAACAAGAGAAUGGUUCAUUUUUCCCCGGAUUCUCAUCACCAUGACCAUUGGUUUAGCCCUGGGGCUAGGACAGAGCAUGACCAGGUCACUAAUAAGGGGAUUGUAUCUUCGUUUGGCCUAAGUCCAGCAAUCUGAAAGUUGGAAGGUGGAGACCAAGGCUUAGAGAAGUUAAGUACUUUGCCUAAAGUUACACAGGUUGUAAAUGGUAAAGCUAUUAUUGGAACCUAGUGACUUUUUAGUUACUGGCCCAGCUGGGAUUAGAACCCAGCUCUAUCCUGUAUUAUUAUUUCCAAGACUUUUAUUUUUGUUGGGGUUAAUUGCUAAUAUUCUGUACAACU
Molecule: long non-coding RNA, 442 nt
Filed under: Homo sapiens (human)
Lineage: Eukaryota; Metazoa; Chordata; Mammalia; Primates; Hominidae
Description: non-protein coding lnc-ESRRG-4:1
Source: RNAcentral